CCAUAACAUGUUGAAACACAGGUUCUAAUGCAAUCACAGAAGUUAAGCAAUAUCAAGCCUGGUCAGUACCUAUAUGGGUGACCGCUUGGGAAUACCAUAUGCUGUAAG
Acanthosepion pharaonis is the source of this 108-nucleotide non-coding RNA. The record is from the annotation of a GenBank genome assembly. NCBI's taxonomy places the organism in Eukaryota, Metazoa, Mollusca, Cephalopoda, Sepiida, Sepiidae.